Molecule: ribosomal RNA, 429 nt
Filed under: Chloroflexota bacterium
Lineage: Bacteria; Bacillati; Chloroflexota
Description: Chloroflexi bacterium partial 16S ribosomal RNA
Rfam family: Bacterial small subunit ribosomal RNA
Source: RNAcentral
UGGGGAAUAUUGCACAAUGGGCGCAAGCCUGAUGCAGCCAUGCCGCGUGUAUGAAGAAGGCCUUCGGGUUGUAAAGUACUUUCAGUCGGGAGGAAGGUGGUAAGGUUAAUAACCUUGGCAAUUGACGUUACCGACAGAAUAAGCACCGGCUAACUCCGUGCCAGCAGCCGCGGUAAUACGGAGGGUGCAAGCGUUAAUCGGAAUUCCUGGGCGUAAUGCGAACGCAGGCGGUUGAUUGAGUCAGAUGUGAAAUCCCCGGGCUUAACCCGGGAAUAGCAUCUGAUACUGGUCAGCUAGAGUCUUGUAGAGGGGGGUAGAAUUCCAUGUGUAGCGGUGAAAUGCGUAGAGAUGUGGAGGAAUACCGGUGGCGAAGGCGGCCCCCGGGACAAAGACUGACGCUCAGGUGCGAAAGCGUGGGGAGCAAACAGG